CUGGUUGAUCCUACCAGUAAUAUAUGCGCUUGUCUCAAAAGGUUAAGCCUGCAUGUUAAGUACAAACAUAAAUGAAUUGAAACCGCAUAAGGCUCAGUAAUAAGCAGGUAUAAUUCACAAGAUUCAUCCCUACACUAGUUACUUGAUACUGUGGAAAAAUCCAGAGCUAAUACAUGCAACAUCCCGGGACUGUUGCUCGGGUAGCUGAACUGUGGCACUAUUUAUUAAACCAAUGCUCCGGGCGGCUUGAGUUGAAGUCUGGAUAAGGCGCAGAUCGUAAUGGUCGCUUGUCGACGACGACAGAUCUUUCAAAUGUCUGCCUAUCAAACUAUUUGAUGGUAAGUGUAACGAAGGACUACCAUGGUUGCGACGGGUAAAGGGGAAUCAAGGUUCGAUUCCUGAAGAGGGAGCUGAGAAAUGCUACACAUCCAAGGAAGGCAGCAGGCGCGUAAUUCACCCAAUCCAUACGGGAGGUAGUGAGAGAAAUAACAAUAUGGACGCUCUCUAAGAUGGGUCAUAAUUGGAAUGAGUUGAAGUAUAAAUCCUUCAACAAGGAUCAAGUGAGGCAGUCUGGUGCCCAGCAGCCGCGGUAAUUCCAGCUCCACUAAGCGUAUAUUAAAGUUGUUGCGGUUAAAAGUUCGAAUGAUUGCCCGUCCAGACACGUGACCGCCAACGGGCGCCCGGUUCACGCCGGGGCCGUUCGUGCGCGAGCUCACGGCUGCGACUCACAAUGGUGUACUUUGCGUUAACUCUGUUGAACGAGUACCGUGCUAACCGUUAACUCCGGCAGGCUCUCAUGGUGCUCAAAGAUACCACAUUUACCGAACAAAUUGAGUGCUCAAGCAGGCUAGACAAAGCGUCCGGCUCCCCGUGGGUUGGCGUUGGACGAGAAUAAUUGCAUGGAAAAAUGGAUUGACCUCGGUUAUAACAUUUCGUUGGUUUGAUCAGAAAGCCUAGAGUAAUGAUGUAAGCAGAAGUAGUUGGGGGCAUUGGUAUUACGGCGCGAGAGUGAAUUCGUAGCCGUUCGUAGGACAACUGAAGCGGAAAGCGUUUGCCAUGGAGCUUUCUUUAAUCAAGAACGAAAGUUGAGGAUCGAAGGCGAUUAGAACGCGCCUAGUUUCUAACGUAAACGAUGGCCAAUUAGCAUUGGGAGACGCUACCUUUAAUUCGGUGGACUCUCAGUCGCUUCCGGAAACCAAAUCGGGUUCCG
RNAcentral lists this ribosomal RNA (1210 nucleotides) under Anopheles funestus (African malaria mosquito). RNAcentral describes it as "eukaryotic small subunit ribosomal RNA". It matches the Rfam family "Eukaryotic small subunit ribosomal RNA", at positions 4 to 1116 of the family's 1831-position model. Lineage: Eukaryota; Metazoa; Arthropoda; Insecta; Diptera; Culicidae. The record is from RNAcentral.